AAUUUUACGCAACGGGCGAAAGCCUGACGCAGCAACGCCGCGUGGGGGAUGAAGGCCUUCGGGUUGUAAGCCCCUUUCAGCAGAGACGAAAAUGACGGUACCUGCAGAAGAAGCCCCGGCCAACUACGUGCCAGCAGCCGCGGUAACACGUAGGGGGCAAGCGUUGUCCGGAUUUAUUGGGCGUAAAGAGCUCGUAGGCAGUUGCGUAAGUCGGAUGUGAAAACUCAGGGCUCAACCCGGAGACGCCAUCCGAUACUGCGCUGACUAGAGUCCGGUAGGGGGGCAUGGAAUUCCUGGUGUAGCGGUGAAAUGCGCAGAUAUCAGGAGGAACACCAGUGGCGAAGGCGGUGCUCUGGGCCGGAACUGACGCUGAGGAGCGAAAGCGUGGGUAGCAAACAGGAUUAGAUACCCUGGUAGUCCACGCCGUA
RNAcentral lists this ribosomal RNA (428 nucleotides) under uncultured marine bacterium. RNAcentral's name for it is "bacterial SSU rRNA". It matches the Rfam family "Bacterial small subunit ribosomal RNA", at positions 360 to 804 of the family's 1533-position model. The record is from RNAcentral.